This 508-nucleotide ribosomal RNA is filed under the name uncultured glomeraceous AM fungus. RNAcentral's name for it is "SSU rRNA". It matches the Rfam family "Eukaryotic small subunit ribosomal RNA", at positions 569 to 1078 of the family's 1831-position model. The record is from RNAcentral. Lineage: Eukaryota; Fungi; Glomeromycota; Glomeromycetes; Glomerales; Glomeraceae.
AGCAGCCGCGGUAAUUCCAGCUCCAAUAGCGUAUAUUAAAGUUGUUGCAGUUAAAAAGCUCGUAGUUGAAUUUCGGGGUUAGUAGAUUGGCCAUGCCUCUGGUAUGUACUGGUCUCACUGAUUCCUCCUUCCUGAUGAACCUUAAUGCCAUUAAUUUGGUGUUUUGGGGAAUUUGGACUGUUACUUUGAAAAAAUUAGAGUGUUUAAAGCAAGCUAACGCUUGAAUACAUUAGCAUGGAAUAAUGAAAUAGGACGUUCGAUCCUAUUUUGUUGGUUUCUAGGAUUGACGUAAUGAUUAAUAGGGAUAGUUGGGGGCAUUAGUAUUCAAUUGUCAGAGGUGAAAUUCUAGGAUUUAUUGAAGACUAACUACUGCGAAAGCAUUUGCCAAGGAUGUUUUCAUUAAUCAAGAACGAAAGUUAGGGGAUCGAAGACGAUCAGAUACCGUCGUAGUCUUAACCAUAAACUAUGCCGACUAGGGAUCGGAUGAUGUUAAUUUUUUAAUGACUCA